Molecule: ribosomal RNA, 492 nt
Filed under: uncultured bacterium
Lineage: Bacteria
Description: partial 16S ribosomal RNA
Rfam family: Bacterial small subunit ribosomal RNA
Source: RNAcentral
AGUGAACGCUGGCGGUAGGCUUAACACAUGCAAGUCGAACGGCAGCACCGUAAGAGCUUGCUCUUACGGGUGGCGAGUGGCGGACGGGUGAGGAAUACAUCGGAAUCUACUUUUUCGUGGGGGAUAACGUAGGGAAACUUACGCUAAUACCGCAUACGACCUACGGGUGAAAGCAGGGGAUCUUCGGACCUUGCGGGAUUGAAUGAGCCGAUGUCGGAUUAGCUAGUUGGCGGGGUAAAGACCCACCAAGGCGACGAUCCGUAGCUGGUCUGAGAGGAUGAUCAGCCACACGGGAACUGAGACACGGUCCAGGCUCCUACGGGAGGCAGCAGUGGGGAAUAUUGGACAAUGGGCGCAAGCCUGAUCCAGCCAUACCGCGUGGGUGAAGAAGGCCUUCGGGUUGUAAAGCCCUUUUGUUGGGAAAGAAAAGCAGCAGGUUAAUACCCCGCUGUUCUGACGGUACCCAAAGAAUAAGCACCGGCUAACUUCGUG